Molecule: RNA transcript, 5519 nt
Organism: Myotis lucifugus (little brown bat)
Lineage: Eukaryota; Metazoa; Chordata; Mammalia; Chiroptera; Vespertilionidae
Gene: FGD6
Gene name: FYVE, RhoGEF and PH domain containing 6
Exons: 22
Source: RefSeq, a predicted model, not a curated record
UCGUGCCCGCAGCUUGUCGCUCGCGCCCGGGAGCGCCGCCGGGUCCCUGGAGUCCGCCGCAUCCUUUGUGCGGACCCUGGAGUUUCGCUGCGGAGCAGCAGGACGAAAUGUGGACGCCGCGGGAGCUUUAUUUCCCUGCCUAAAUUCGUGAAACAAUGGACGGUUAGGGGAGCAUGGAUUGAGGGGGAGGCGAGCGGGGAAGCGAGCCGCCUGGGGAAUCAUGACUUCUGCCGCCGAGAUUAAGAAGCCACCACUGGCCCCCAAACCAAAGUUUGUGGCAAAUAAUAAGUCAGUACCACCUCCUAUUGCACCCAAACCUGAUAUUGUGAUUUCUAGUGUUCCACAGUCAACAAAGAAAACCAAACCAGCAAUAGCCCCGAAACCAAAAGUUCUGAAAAGCUCACCUGUUUGUGACAUCAGGCAGUCACCAUCAAGGAAAACCAUCGUGAAUCUGGAAGAACAUAAACAGGAAUUACCUGAAAGUGCUGACAGCUCUUCUUGCAAAAAGAAGCACACUUCCACAGACAACUCAGAAACGAAUGAGGGCUGUAACUCCAACGGACAGUUCAGAAUUGAAUUUUCAGACUUGACACCUUCCCAGUCCAGCUUUGAAAAGCUUCCUGAUCACUACUGCCUCCUACAACUUCCUACCGAUGAACUUCAAAAUAUUGAAACUUGUCAGGAUGACAGUGAAAAAAGCCAUAUUUGCUUUCAUUCAUCUGAACAAGAAGCUCUGGCACAUGGUAAAAAGAGUACUUUUUUAUCUUCAGAUGGAGUUAGUAAGAACUCAAAAGUCAAAGACCUUGGUCCCUUAGAAGUUCACUUAGUAUCAUGUACUUCAAAAUUUCCAACUCCCAAGCCCAGAAAGACACGUGCCACACGGCUGUUACGUCAAGAGCACAUAGAUACUCCUAGUGAAAGUACUGAAAAACCAGAGAAUUUAGACAGUAACUCUUCUUGUCUUUUUGAAGAUAGUUUGAAAAACAAUGAAAUCAUUUAUCAGAAUGUUUUGUAUAACCAGGAACAGGUGAACAAAGUGAAACCAGGAAAGAAAAGUGAAUUGAAUGUGGACUCCAACAGUGACAGACAAAACUUAGUUGAUUCCCAGAAAGCCAUGUGUCAUGAAACAUCUUCCUCUGAAGAAAUGACACCUUCUUUGGAUACAGAUUCUAAUUUGAGUUCCGACAGCAAGACAGUAGAUGGUUCUAGUAUGUCACCUGCUAUGGACAAACGGACCAGUUUUAUAAGAUGCAGUACUGUAUCUAUGAGCCUGCCUAAGCAGCUGAAAUUAGCUUGCAACAAACGUUUACCUAUGGCCUGUAACUUGGGAGGGGCUGUCCCUCAAAUGCAAAAGGAAUCUACAAUGAAAGAUGUAAGUUCCUCAAAAAUUGUACCCAAAAAACCUCAAAGACACAGCUUGCCUGCUGCAGGAAUGCUUAAAAAGGCUGCCUCAGAGGAGCUUAUGGAGAAAAGUUCAUAUUCCUCAAAUGAAGAAAAAAAGGACCUAGAAAGAAAUCACCUUCAACAAUUGUGUGCCCAAAACCAUGGUACGUCGUCCUCCUUUGAGAUGUCCAAAAGGACUUUAGAAAAGCCAGUGUGGAAAUUACCUCAUCCUAUUUUACCCUUUAAAGGGAACCCAGAAUCCUUAAAGUCUAUCACCACAUCCUCAAAUAGUGAGGCUUCAAAUGCCCUGACCAAGCCUAGAGCAAAAUCACUGUCUGCUGUGGAUAUGGAUAGGUGCACUAAGCCUUGCAAAGAUUCUCAAAGGAAACCCUCUUUAAAGAAGUUGCUCAAUAUGAAGCUGUCCAUCUGUUUCAUGAAGAGUGACUUCCAGAAAUUUUGGUCCAAGAGUAGCCAACUUGAAGGCACAAUCGCUGGCAGACUCUCAGGUGAGGAGGGAAAAGAGAUUGAAAGUGAUUGGCAUGGCGUAUUAGUAGAAGAUAAGAGAAAUAAACCCAUCAAGUCAUAUUCUGCAGAUAACUACAGUCUGGAAUCUCAAAAGAAGAGGAAGAAGUCUCGGGGCCAGAGCAGUGCAACUAAUGGACCAAGAGCUGAGUCUUUGGAUGACCAAAUGCUCUCUAGGGAGGCAACAUCUCAGGCGCCUUGUAAAUCUGUUACAAGUGACUAUGCACCAGAUUAUGAAAAUGUACGCCAUUAUGAGGAAAUACCUGAGUAUGAGAACUUUCCACUUGCUAUGGCUGUCGGGAAAACUCUAGAGUUGGAAAGGCAGAAUCCCAGCAGCAUGGAGGACACUGAUGCAAAUGUGUAUGAGAUAGAAGACCUGUAUGAAGCUUCAGAUGGCCAGCUGCAACUUGAACCUAUACAGCAGCAUUCCAGUUGUGGAGCAUCCCAGGAGGUACACAGUGAUGUGGACCUUGGUCUUGGUGACCUUCCUUCAGAUGAAGAGGAAAUCAUCAACAGUUCUGAUGAAGACGAUGUCAGCUCUGGUUCUAGCAAAGGGGAGCCUGACCUGCUGGAAGAUAAACAGGAUGAAGAUACUGGAAUAAAAAGUAAAGUCCAUUAUAUUGCCAAGGAGAUCAUGAGCUCAGAGAAAGUGUUUGUGGAUGUGUUAAAACUUUUGCAUAUCGAUUUCCGGGAUGCUGUUGCUCAUGCUUCCAGACAACUUGGGAAACCAGUGAUUGAGGACCGGAUCCUAAAUCAGAUCCUAUACUACUUGCCUCAGCUGUACGAGCUCAACCGGGAUCUCCUGAAGGAACUAGAGGAGAGAGUGUCGAACUGGACAGAACAACAAAGAAUUGCUGAUAUCUUUGUAAAGAAGGGGCCAUAUCUAAAAAUGUAUUCCACAUACAUCAAAGAAUUUGAUAAGAAUAUAGCUUUGCUGGAUGAGCAGUGCAAGAAAAACCCAGGUUUCGCUGCUGUUGUUAGAGAAUUUGAGAUGAGCCCACGCUGUGCUAAUCUGGCCCUCAAGCACUACCUGCUCAAGCCAGUUCAGAGGAUCCCCCAGUACAGGCUGCUGCUAACAGAUUAUUUGAAAAAUCUUUUAGAAGACUCUGGAGAUUACAGAAACACUCAAGAUGCCCUUGCUGUUGUUAUAGAAGUAGCCAACCACGCCAAUGACACCAUGAAGCAAGGAGACAACUUCCAAAAACUUAUGCAAAUUCAGUACAGCUUAAAUGGACACCAUGAAAUUGUGCAGCCUGGACGGGUUUUUCUCAAAGAAGGAACUCUGAUGAAGCUGUCUCGGAAAGACAUGCAGCCCCGAGUGUUCUUCCUGUUUAAUGAUGCCCUAUUGUAUACAACACCAGUACAGUCUGGGAUGUAUAAACUGAACAACAUGCUCUCAUUGGCUGGAAUGAAGGUAAAAAAACCUACCCAAGAAGCGUAUCAGAAUGAACUACAGAUUGAGAGUGUAGAACGUUCCUUCAUUCUCUCAGCCAGUUCUGCCACAGAAAGGGAUGAAUGGCUAGAAGCGAUUUCCAGGUCAAUAGAAGAGUAUGCCAAGAAAAGAAUCACAUUCUGCCCUAGUAGGAGUCUUGAUGAGGCAGACUCAGAAAAUAAAGAGGAAGUUUGUCCCCUUGGAUCAAAGGCUCCUAUCUGGAUUCCUGAUACCAGAGCCACAAUGUGUAUGAUCUGCACAAGUGAAUUUACUCUGACCUGGAGACGACAUCACUGCCGGGCCUGCGGAAAGAUUGUGUGCCAAGCUUGUUCAUCAAAUAAGUGUGGCUUAGAUUACCUGAAAAAUCAACCAGCAAGAGUAUGUGAACAUUGUUUUCAAGAACUGCAGAAAUUAGAUCACCAGCACUCUCCUAAGAUUGGAUCUCCCGGAAAUCACAAAUCUUCAAGUGCCUUAUCAUCAGUCUUACAGAGUAUUCCAUCAGGGAGGAAACAGAAAAAAAUCCCAGCGGCUCUCAAAGAAGACGUGGCAGCUAUGGAGAGUCAACCUUUAUUAGGAUUCACUGUCACUGAAGUCAAAGAUGAGAAUUCAGAGUCUAGAGUAUUUCAAUUACUGCAUAAAAACAUGGUAUUUUAUGUAUUCAAAGCAGAUGAUGCUCACUCAGCUCAGAAGUGGAUAGAAGCAUUUCAGGAAGGCACAAUAUUAUAGCAGUAUUGGUCUCAUCUCUUCUGUGAUUUCAAAAGGGUGGAAUUUCAUCAGAACGAAGUAAAUACAGUAUAAAAAUUUAAUACAAAUGAACACUGCCAAGAUAAAUGUAACCAAAAUCUUCAUCAAAUAUAAAAAAUUAUUUUGUUAGGACAUGAUUCUUGCCAUCUACAUCUCAAGCACAGCUCUCCAAAUGCCUACAUUACAACUCAUUUCUUAGACCUACACAUUCCACCAUCCUGCAAGGCCACAUUUGCAACUACCACUUGGACACUGACACACGAGUCCUUAAGCAUUUUAAACUUUACAUCACUAAAACUCACUUUUCUUUUAAUCUGUUUAUUUUCUUCUGUGAUGGAAAAACAGUGUUGUACUCUCCAGAAUCUGACCCCAAGUCUCAACAGGGCCCUCUGCAGUUGCUCUUGUAUCCUUUCCAUCUUCAUUGCCCUUCUGUUGUUGCACAGACCCUUGUUACUUCUUUCCAAUGACUGGAAUAACUCUUCUUCUGAUUUCAAUGCCUUCUUUGCACGGUCCCAUUUUAAACACUGCCAGAGCCAUCUUCUAAAGCAUGGCUCUGCUUUCAUCCUGCUCUUCCACUUCCGUUGGCUUCCCAGUGGCUUGGCAUGGAACACUUUCCCCCAGGUAUCAUGCACUCGAGCUAAUCCCAACCCAACCUUCCUCUGUUCAGUUUGUUUUCUCACCCUCUCUUCCACCCCCAUUUCUGCCUAUUUAUCCUAGACUUAUCUGAAGUUGAUCCCUCGUCCUUCUCUUCCCUACUUCUCUCCUGUUUCUUCAGGCUAGAUCUAGUUUUCCCUUCCUCUAUAUUCCCAUAGCCUUUAGCUCAUAAACAGACUUUCUUAUGGUACUUAUCACAUUCUGUCCUAGAGAACAGCAACUGUAUCUUAUUCAUUUGAGAUUCCCCCUCAGCAUCUGCGCAGUGCCUAUAAUUGUUGGAUAUUCAGUAUUUGUUUGAUAAAUUAAAUUACUUCAAAUGGAUCCCCCCCUUUUUUUAGUAUCCCCAAUACACAAAUAUCAUUCAGGAGCUUAUGCCACUUUUAAAGUUAUUUUCUAAGAGAAAAUCUUCCUUACAACUUUUUUCCCCCCUUUAAGAAAAGAGAUAAGUAAUUUCUAGUAUUUUCUUUUUAAGAUGAAGGUGGCAGUAAAUUUUCAAAACGCCUCAAUAUAUCAAAUUCCUUUUUUCUGCUGUGGGGAGAGAUUAAAAGAGGGCAGCCUUUUCUUUUAUAUAAGUUGGUCAUAGCAUCUUGAAAACCAAUCUUAAAAUGCUAUUGUUUCUUUAAAUGACUUAUGAAUUUCUAUAAAUACUUUUUACUUAAAGUGAUAAUAGUCUGUAUCUUAUUGUCCAUAUAGAGAUCUACUAGUAAAUCCUUUAUAAAUCAAAUGUUAGCAUUGUAAAUAAUGUUAAUAUGUAUUUAUACAAAAUAAAUUUAUCUACUUUUGG